GCAUAUGCAUGCAAGAGCAUAGCAAGAGCAUGUACACAACACAGCACACAAAAUCAAUGAAUCCAGCCUGAUUACAGCAUUGAUACAAUCUGAAAAGUAUCAAAACCCUACAAUACACCAAAAAAGUACAGAUCAACUCAAGAGUUAUGAUUUUGGGAAACGAGAAACUGAGGAACUCUGGAGACAAAAGGAAAA
This is a long non-coding RNA of Amphimedon queenslandica, 195 nucleotides long. RefSeq lists it as uncharacterized. NCBI's taxonomy places the organism in Eukaryota, Metazoa, Porifera, Demospongiae, Haplosclerida, Niphatidae. The record is from RefSeq and is a predicted model, not a curated record. The transcript is spliced from 2 exons.